This is a non-coding RNA of Pelobates cultripes (western spadefoot toad), 92 nucleotides long. Lineage: Eukaryota; Metazoa; Chordata; Amphibia; Anura; Pelobatidae. The record is from the annotation of a GenBank genome assembly.
GACCAUAACAUAAGUGAUUUGUGUGUGUGUGUGUGUGUGUGUAUAUAUAUUUAUAUAUACACACACACACACAAAUAAAAAUCAUGCAUGAU